RNAcentral lists this transfer RNA (86 nucleotides) under Planctomycetota bacterium. RNAcentral describes it as "Planctomycetes bacterium (soil metagenome) tRNA-Leu". It matches the Rfam family "tRNA". Rfam says of the family: Transfer RNA (tRNA) molecules are approximately 80 nucleotides in length. Their secondary structure includes four short double-helical elements and three loops (D, anti-codon, and T loops). Lineage: Bacteria; Pseudomonadati; Planctomycetota. The record is from RNAcentral.
GCGCUGGUGGUGGAACUGGCAGACAUGGCGGGCUCAAACCCCGUCGACCGUCAAGGUCAUUGCGGGUCUGAAUCCCGCCCGGCGCA